RNAcentral lists this ribosomal RNA (497 nucleotides) under uncultured bacterium. RNAcentral describes it as "partial 16S ribosomal RNA". It matches the Rfam family "Bacterial small subunit ribosomal RNA", at positions 28 to 507 of the family's 1533-position model. The record is from RNAcentral.
GAUGAACGCUGGCGGCGUGCCUAAUACAUGCAAGUCGAGCGAACAGACGAGGAGCUUGCUCCUCUGACGUUAGCGGCGGACGGGUGAGUAACACGUGGAUAACCUACCUAUAAGACUGGGAUAACUUCGGGAAACCGGAGCUAAUACCGGAUAAUAUAUUGAACCGCAUGGUUCAAUAGUGAAAGACGGUUUUGCUGUCACUUAUAGAUGGAUCCGCGCCGCAUUAGCUAGUUGGUAAGGUAACGGCUUACCAAGGCAACGAUGCGUAGCCGACCUGAGAGGGUGAUCGGCCACACUGGAACUGAGACACGGUCCAGACUCCUACGGGAGGCAGCAGUAGGGAAUCUUCCGCAAUGGGCGAAAGCCUGACGGAGCAACGCCGCGUGAGUGAUGAAGGUCUUCGGAUCGUAAAACUCUGUUAUUAGGGAAGAACAAAUGUGUAAGUAACUAUGCCCGUCUUGACGGUACCUAGUCAGAAAGCCACGGCUAACUACGUG